ACAAUUUGUGAUGUUAAAAAACAUAUUUCCCUGACUGGCAGGGUCCUAAAGGGGAAGCUGGAACAGCGGGACCUGUGGGACCAAAGGGAGAUCAGGGCUUCCAAGGAUCCCAAGGAUUCCCAGGACAACCGGGUCCUCCAGGUUUCUCGGGAAAAGCAGGUCCUCCGGGCCCUCCAGGACCACAAGCUGAGAAGGGUAGUGCUGGAGUUCAGGGCCCACAGGGACCCACAGGUCCCCCAGGAUCAACCGGGGCCCCAGGCAUGCCUGUGAGUCUCAGAAUCCUAUGGAUAGACACCUUUUAAAGCAGACAUUCAGCCUGUGUUGUCA
Molecule: long non-coding RNA, 327 nt
Filed under: Sinocyclocheilus grahami
Lineage: Eukaryota; Metazoa; Chordata; Actinopteri; Cypriniformes; Cyprinidae
Description: lncRNA (ENSSGRG00000039203.1)
Source: RNAcentral